CAAGUCGAGCGGGCAUAGCAAUAUGUCAGCGGCAGACGGGUGAGUAACGCGUGGGAACAUACCUUUUGGUUCGGAACAACACAGGGAAACUUGUGCUAAUACCGGAUAAGCCCUUACGGGGAAAGAUUUAUCGCCGAAAGAUUGGCCCGCGUCUGAUUAGCUAGUUGGUGAGGUAAUGGCUCACCAAGGCGACGAUCAGUAGCUGGUCUGAGAGGAUGAUCAGCCACAUUGGGACUGAGACACGGCCCAAACUCCUACGGGAGGCAGCAGUGGGGAAUAUUGGACAAUGGGCGCAAGCCUGAUCCAGCCAUGCCGCGUGAGUGAUGAAGGCCCUAGGGUUGUAAAGCUCUUUUGUGCGGGAAGAUAAUGACGGUACCGCAAGAAUAAGCCCCGGCUAACUUCGUGCCAGCAGCCGCGGU
This 419-nucleotide ribosomal RNA is filed under the name uncultured bacterium. RNAcentral's name for it is "bacterial SSU rRNA". It matches the Rfam family "Bacterial small subunit ribosomal RNA", at positions 58 to 521 of the family's 1533-position model. The record is from RNAcentral.